Molecule: unclassified non-coding RNA, 956 nt
Filed under: Hevea brasiliensis (rubber tree)
Lineage: Eukaryota; Viridiplantae; Streptophyta; Magnoliopsida; Malpighiales; Euphorbiaceae
Source: RNAcentral
UGAAAAAAGAAAUAUUGAUAAAUAGAUAGAAAGGUAGAAGAUAUAAAACUCUAGGUAGAAGAUAUAAUUUUGAAAGCAAGAAAGAAACCUCCGAGUUUCAGCGGGGCGGAAGAGAGCCAACACAAAAUGGUGCCAGACAGAACCCCAUUUCGUGGCUUAAAACACUUCGUAGACACCCAUCCAAAUCCAGGUUUCAAAGAGAACCAAUUGUCAGAUGAACUUAACUACAUGGUUCCGGUUCACUCCACAAUUCCUAUUAGAACUACAGUAUAGCAGAAACACCAUCAUCUAAGUUCUACCAGAACAGCAUCCAGCCUUGAUUCCAGCAUCAAUCUCCAUUAGCAUAAGGUGAAGCACGACGGGCAUGGCGGUAUGGAGGAGAUCUGCUGUAGCUCCGACCACGCUUAGGAGGUGUAAUGCUGCGACGUCGUGGGGAUCUUUUACCACGAGGACUGUUACUCCUGCGGCCAUAUCUUUCAUAGCUUGGACUCCGACGACGCCGAGGAGAAGGACUACGACGUAAACCACCUCCUACCCCUCGUGAGCCCCCACGUGAACGACACUCACGAGCAAAAUGACCAGGCUCACCACAUUCAUAACAUUUCAAAUCAUCACCACCACCACGGCCACGACGACCACCACCUCCUCCACCACCUUUAGAGUUGUGAGAAAGCUCCACGCGCCAACCAUUUUUCCCAUCCAAUGCUUGUAUUGCAUCUAGAGCAUCCCUGCGAUCAUCAAACUCGAUAAAUGCAUAUCCUGGAGGCCUUCUAGCAACCCAAACACUCCUAAGAACACCGAACAUUCGAAAUUCAUCUUCAAGAUCCCUCUCUGUAACGCGUGGAUCCAGAUUACCAAUAUAAACUCGAGUCAUUGUAGCGAAGGAGCCAAAGAACCGCCAAGAUAAAGAUCUCGCGGAUCGUUGAAAAGUACGAAGAGAUCAGCCGGUGAAAAGG